This 70-nucleotide transfer RNA is filed under the name Panesthia sloanei. RNAcentral describes it as "tRNA-Ile". Lineage: Eukaryota; Metazoa; Arthropoda; Insecta; Blattodea; Blaberidae. The record is from RNAcentral.
UAUUGAAUAGUAUAGAAUAUUUUUUGCGGGAAAAUAUAAAUUAUGUAAUAAUUCACUUUUACCUUUACUA